RNA transcript from Pyrus x bretschneideri (Chinese white pear), 1972 nucleotides. RefSeq lists it as uncharacterized. The record is from RefSeq and is a predicted model, not a curated record. The transcript has 3 exons. NCBI's taxonomy places the organism in Eukaryota, Viridiplantae, Streptophyta, Magnoliopsida, Rosales, Rosaceae.
CCAAACACCUCACACCAACAAAAUUCCAAAUCCAUGCCUACAUUUUUCCCACUCACCCAAAAAUCCCAACCAAAAAAAAAAAGAAAAAGAAACUCUCUCUCUCUUCUUUCUCUCUCUCCUGGCUCUGUUUGUAAAUUUCCUCCGUGUUCAGAAAACCCUGUUUUCCGCAACGACCCUCUUCGUUUUCGCAGCCUCUUCCCGAAACGUGGAUCACCGGAGAGCUCAGGUCUUCCAAUCUCUGAAAAUAAAAAAAGCACCGGAAAAAAAUAUUUAAUUGAAAAAAAAGGGGGAGAAAUCGCUUCUGGGUAUUUUUAUUUUUCGAAAACCCUAGUUUUCCGCUUCCAGAUUUUCGAUUUCGAUUGUGAAUUAGGGUUUUAUGGGGCAGCAUGACAAAAAUUCGAUCCAAAUUCUAAACGGGCCGUCGUUGGCCCACUCCGCCUGGUUCGAAAUCCGGUUGUUUUACGUCCGGGUUGCGCCCUGCGUGAUUGGGAGCGUUCCCGACCACCUCACGCUCCGCCACCUCCGACGCGAGAUUGGGGUAUCGCUUGAAAUCAACGGGACCCGGGUUCCGGCGUCGGACUCGGCCUCGCUCACGCUCCGCCGCGAUCGGGUCGAUAAGGAGUCGUCGGAGGUGACGUACGUCAGCACCGAUAGCGUGAGGGUCACCGGUGGGGUUGAAUUUGAGGUGUACGAGAACAAUGACAUGGUUCUGUGUGGGUCUCUGGAGCGGAUGGAGGGUGUUUGGCUCAAUGGAAAUGCGGGGGGAUUGGAGAACGAUUCGAGAACCGGGUGGAGUAUGGAUUGCUACAUGGCCGCCUCGAUCAAUUCGGGUUCUUCCGCCUUUUUCCGGCCAAAACUUGGCGUCUCUGCACCGUCAAUAGAGGUAUAUAUCGCCGGGUGUUGCUCCGGGGUGCCCGUGAUAUUGACGAAAACCAUACAGGUUAGUCCGAGGCGGAAGGGCCCGAGGCAUGCAACGCUCGAUGCCAUUCCGGAGGAUGAGGAGGUUGGGAAGGAGCACACCAAGGGCUGUAAUGGGAUGAUUCGCCGGAAAGUUCAGAUCACAGACUCUGAAAUUGAUGAGUAUGAGGCAGAAGGGAAAAUCGGACAUCAUUUCUACUCUGAUGAAAUGUACACCGGUGAAGACGGCCAACUUACAUGGUUUAAUGCUGGUGUUAGAGUUGGUGUUGGAAUUGGCCUUGGGAUGUGCCUUGGGAUAGGGAUUGGUGUUGGAUUGCUCAUGCGUUCCUAUCAAGCAACUACCAGUAAUUUCAGGAGGAGGUUUUUCUGAAGUGGAUAAUUGGAAACUUUUUUGGGGAAGUCAAGGGGAACGAAAUAAUAAAAAAUUGUGAGGAAGUGAAAACGGCAUAAAUCGGUAACAUAAAUCUGUUGAGCAUGAGUUUUUGAAGUUGGGUUGGAAGUUUUGUACAGUUUUUCUGUUUAAUAGUUUUAUGUUCAGAUAAAAGCUCUUACAAAGGAUGCCAAAGUUGUUCAUUUCACUCCAAAGGUUGGUUGGACACCAUUGAAAUGUUGUUUCAUUGAAACAUAGACACAGGUGCCAAUGUGGAUAACCGGCUCAGCCUUCCGAGGCAGGAAAAUAUAAUAAGCUUUGAAGAUCUGAUGGAGCUGUAGGUAAUAGCAACUACUUGUUCAGCGGCCAGCACAAGCUUGUAUGAGGUUCGACUUUGCUUUCGUGGAAAAUGUAGCAGAUGCGCACAUGUUGUUCUGAGAUUUUGAUCUUACAUGAGUUAUAUGUUAUUCGUGAGACUUCCAACCGUUGUAUGAAACGCCUUUUUCAUAAGACGUUGUGUACAACCGAUGUACAUAAAUGUUGUAGAUAAAGAUUUUGAGACAUGUCAAAUGCAUUUCAUUCGAAUGGGCAAUUGUGCUACAGUUAGUCGCCGAACGCCCACACUCGAUAUUAGUUGUUUUUAACAUUUUAGAAUAAUUUUAUUAACAAGAUUUUCGGCACGCA